AAAAGAGAGAUCUGAGGGGGGAGUGAUGAAGAAAGAGGGUAGAGGGCUGAGCAGGAAGAUGACUAAAAGGAAGAGGAAUGAUGGUGGAAGGCAGAGGACUGAGGGGGAGUGACUGUAAAGGCGACCGAUGCGCCAUUCCAAAGGCAUAGGACAUCGCAGGAAGGAGAUGUAUUUCGCUUCAGGAUAUCCUAAAAUGCAUACUCCUGGGUCCUACGCUGAAAACGAUCAGCCUGCCCUUCUUGUCUACUUCUCUUUCUCUCCUCUCUCCCUCCCCAGCCUCCAACCCACUCAGUCUGACACUAGUUUUAGUUAGAAAGGCAGCAGGGCAGUCCGAAAAAAAUAAAUGCCUGCAACGUCACAGUCUCGCGAGAUGUGAUCUUGAACGUCUAGAUGAGCUGUCCGGAAGGAGCUAAGGAUCUCGCUGCUGUAAGGUGUUUAAACACCUAUUAGGGACUGCGUGCUGUGUUAAGGAAAUCUGUCCAACAAAUAAAGUGGGGUUUUUGGCCGGUACGUGCAAUACUUUUGAGUAACCGGGACUUUAUAGUACUGAUACAAAAACACGCAACCUCAGAGGACAGCUUGAGCUAUUUCAUCAUCUUCCUAGGACAAUGUUUAAGAAGCUGAAACAGAAGAUCAGUGAAGAGCAGUCCCCUUCGAAGAGCCCCCUUGCGCCAGAUCAGCAGGGUCGUCAAAGAAGCACAUCAGCAGGCAACAGAAGUAGAACUUCUUCAGUGACCGAACAGCAGGAUGACAGCCUGGCAACAUCAGACAGAGAGCUGCUGGCCGGGAUGAUAGCAGAGCCCGCUUUACUGUCUGAGUACACAGUUUUUGCUCUGGACCGUAGCAAAAGGUCCAAACAACAGAGUGACAGUGUGAAUGGAUCAUUGUCGGACAAUAAUGGGAAUGACCCCAUAUCUUCUCAGAGGAAUGAACCUCAGUCUUUUGCACAGAAGCUCCAAAUGCGAGUUCCUUCAAUGGAAUCACUGUUCAGAAGCCCCAUUAAAGAAUCACUUUUUUCAUCUUCAACCAAAGAAAAUCUUUUACGGAGCGGUUCGCGGGAUUCCUUGAAUAAGAUUGAUAUGGAAAAUCCAGGCACAGCAUUUGAUCCUCCAUCUGAUAUUGAAAGUGAAGCUGAGGAUUCUGUGGGAAGUGUAGAAGGACUUAACAAAGAACAAUUGUUUAAUCGUCUACAUCGAAUGGAUAAAAGUUUAGGAAACUACAGAGGAAAAUAUUCUGAGCUUGUAACAGCAUACAGAACUCAGCAAAGAGACAAAGAAAAACUGCAGUCUAUCUUGAGUCAGAGCCAGGACAAAGCACUAAGGAGAAUUGGAGAGCUGCGAGAGGAGCUUCAGAUGGAUCAACAGGCCAAGAAGCAUCUACAGGAAGAGUUUGAUGCAUCUCUGGAAGAGAAAGAUCAACAUAUAAGUGUACUGCAGACACAGGUUAGUUUGCUUAAAAAGCGACUUCAAAAUGGACAAGGCAGUAGUGAUGUACCAGAAUGCGCAGCCUCACCAGAGCCUGAUGCUGAGAGAUCCCUUCAAGAGGUAGAUGCAGAUAACGGUUCCACCCCUGAUGCAGACGGGAAUGCUACAAGCACUUUAAAUGCUCUCCAGGUUAGAGUAAAACGCCAAGAGAACCUUUUGCAAAGGUGCAAGAAAUCAAUCAGGUCACACAAGGAGCAGUGUGUUAACCUCAGUAGUGAAAAUGAAGCUCUUCAAAACCAGCUCCAUGAGAGGCUUCAGGAACUGGAGAAAAUGAAAGAGCUUCACACUAGUGAGAAGACUAAACUGAUUACCCAGCUAAGAGAUGCCAAGAAUUCAAUUGAACAACUGGAGCAAGAUAAGGGUAUGAUGAUUGCAGAAGCCAAACGACAGAUGCAUGAGACAUUAGAACUGAAGGAGGAAGAGAUUUCUCAGCUUCGGUUGAGGGUCAAGAAACUAAAUUCACAGUGUGAGGAUCUGCAGCAACAGAAAGAGACAUUCGAGAAAGCUGCAUUUGAAGAUGCAGAAAAAACAGUUAUUGCAUCACAGAAAACUGAGGAUGUUUUGGAAAAGCUGCAGAUGGAAGAGCAAAUUAAAGCUAUAGAAAAGGCCAGUGAGGAAGAGCGUGUGAAUCUUCAGAGAGAAUUAAGUCGCGUGAAACAAGAGGUGGUGGACAUUAUGAAGAAAUCCUGUGAUAGCCGUAUCAGUGAGAUUGAGAAUGUCCAUGCAGAGGCCUUGUUGAAUAAAGAGCAGGAGUAUAAUGAGCAGAUGCGCCUGAAGGAACAAGACUUCCAGGAUCAACUUAAUGCAGUCCUUAAGAAGAAUGAGGAGAUUUUAAAUUUACAACAAGAUAAAGAAAAGAGUUUAAUGGCCCUAGAAGAGCUUGAGCAACAGAAAAAGACCCUUGAGUGCAGCACAGCAGAACAACUUAAAGAAAUGCAACAAGAAGUUGAAUGUUACAGAACGAGGAUUCUUGAACUUGAAAGUUCUGUUGCGGAGGAGAGUAAAUCCCAAGAUUUUGCAAGCCUGAUUGAGACAGAAAGAAAUAAUCACAAUGCAGAAGUAAUUGCCAUCAAAGAAAAACAUAAGCAAGAUCUUGAUGUCCUUGUACAGGAACAAGAGAGAAUAUGGUCAGAAAAGCUUGCACUCCUUAAGGAGGAGACUGAUGCUAUGAUUAUUGAACUUAAACAGAAGUAUCAGCAAGAAUAUGAUGCACAAUUAAAAGAGAGAGAGUGUAAUUUCCAGGAGCAUAUUGAGCAAAUGAAUGAAAAAACAUUAGAAAAGCUAGAUUUAAAACAAACUGAACUGGAAACCCUCUCAGCUGAACUGUCUGAGGCUAUAAACGCACGGCAAGAGAUUGAGCAGAAACUUUUAGAAACAGAAAAUGAUACUCUCAAAAUUAAACAAGAAUAUGAUACCCUGAUAAAGGAAGAAAGAGAAAAACAUAGUGAAGAAAUUGGUUCCAUUGAAAGAGAAAAGGAAAUACUUACCAUGGGUAUUGAGAAAGAUUUGAAGGAAAAUAUUAACAACCUAAAACUACUGUUAGAUAAUAAAGAAUGUGAGUUGGAAGAAUUGAGAAAAGAAAAGCAAAAUAUGAAAGAAGCUGCUGAAAAGGCUGAAGCAGACCUUAAAGAAACAUAUACUCUAUUAGAAUCAUCCAGGCAUUCUCAUGAGGUUAAUGUACAUGAGAAAGAAAAGGCUAAUGAGCUGCAACUGAAGGAACUGCAAGAAAAUCUAAAAGGCAUGACAGAAGAACGCAAUCAUCUUAAAGAGGUGACGGAAACAGCAGAAACACAAUUAAAGAGUGUACAGAUAGAACUGGAUACAAGUAAGGCCCAAGUACAAAGCCUUAUGAUGGAGUAUGAAACCCAGGUAAAAGAUUUAAAGGUACAAAUAGAAGAAAUGAGCAGAAUAGCUUCAGAGAAUGAACAUGAAGUAAGAAAACUAAAAGAAGAACACAAACAAAUAAUUAUAGACCUUAACAAUACUAUGUGUGAAAAAGAGAAGAAUAUACUAGCUUUGCAAGAAGAUUAUAAAGUAAAACACAAAAAUCAGGAUGCUAAAAUGGACAAGUUAAGGCAAAAAUUAAAAGAGCUGCAAGAAUCAUCUAAAAAGAAAUAUUCCGAGAUGGAAACCAAAUUAAAGAAAGAGAUUGAUAAGAAGCAGAACGAGUUGAUUAACAAAGAAAAGGAAUAUAAUGAAAAGAUGCAUGAGAUGGCCCAAGCAAGUUCAACUGGAAUUAACCAUGCAAUGGCUCAGCUUGAACUUAAUCAUAAAGAGCAGAUUCAGAAUACCACAGACAAGCAUCAGAGAGAGCUACAAGAAACCACAGAAACUUGGGAAAAGAAAUUAAGCCAGCUUGCUGAAGAACUCAGAGAGAAGCACGAAGAAGAACUUCAGGAGAAAGAUCAGGUCAUAACAGAAGCAAGAACAGAGUUAAAUAUGAAAAGCAAAGAAAAAGAAGAUGCAGAAAAACAGAUAUCAUACCUCAAGGAACUGAAGACCCAAACAGAUGUCUCAUUUAGUGACUUACAAGAACAGCUACGUCAGUCAUCGGCUCAAGUUUUACAUCUGACGCAAAGUGGAAACGAGAUCAAGACACAACUUGAAAGGGUGGAGAAAGAUUGUGCUCAACUAACAGCAGAGAAGCAAAUGCUUCAACAGCAGUUGGAUAAUCUGAAAAUAUUAGCAGAUGAAGAUAAAAGCAAGGUUGAUGAAUUGGUUAGCAAAAUGAGAAUUGCUGAAGAAAAGUAUAAUGACUUAGAGACCCUGCACAAUAAAGUGAGAGUAGACUUUGCUAAGGAACUGCAGGAUACACUUGUUGAAAAAGAAAAUGAUUUUAAACAUCUUCUGGGUAAACAAGAAAACCAGUUGAUCUCUUGCUGCAAAAAUGCUGAAGAUUUAUUUGAAUCACUUGCAAAUGGACUCACUGAAAACCACAGAAAUCAAAUGGAUAGAUGGAUCGUUAAAAUAGCAAAUAUUGAAAGCUACAUGCAUAAACUGAAAGAGGUCACUUUCAAGCAACGCAGUAAAAUGUUUGAGCAAGAAAAGCAACUUGAACAGUUUUCAAAAGAGCUUCUUUCAGUAAACAAAUCUCUUAACCAGGUUACUCAACAUAUGCAGGAAAAAGAAAACAUUACUUCAUCUCUAAAGGAUGAGAUUGAAGCUCUUAAUUUUCAAAAUGAGUUGUUGAAAAAAGAAGGAGGAAGCCAACAGAAGGUUGCAGACGAGAAAGAAUCUUGCAUUACUCAACUGAAAAAAGAACUUUCAGAGAAAACAAAUAUUGUGACCUCCUUAACAGAAGUGGUAAAAGAAAGAGAAUCUCAGGUGUCUUCUCUUUCUUCAUUAAUUAAUGAGCUUAAAGUGAAACACGAGAAUUGUGUUGAUCUAACAGAAAAAGAAAAUGCCAUUGCUUUUCUCACUGCACAGCAGAAACAGAGUGAGCAGGAGCUACAAAAUCAAAUUCAGGAACUGAUGACAAAUAUUGAGAUUCUGAAUAAAGAAAAGUCAGCACACAUAGAUGAAGCUGCUAAGCUUCAAAAUAAGCUUGAUGAAUGGAAGAAAAAAGCAGAACUCAAAUUUGUGCAGAACCACAACACUAUUAAAGAGCUGAAAGAGAAAGUCGAAACAGUCAAUAAGCAUAUUGUUGAAAAAGAUGAGAAACUAAGGACCCUAACAGAGGAAUUUGAAUGUCAUCGUAGCAAUAUCAAAGAAACAGAACUCACAAGAGAAAGCAAAGAAUUGGACUUAAUCUCUCAGUUAGAAGGCCAGACAUCUAGAAUUCUGGAAUUGGAAGAGCAGUGUUUGAAGCUGAUGUCUGAAAACAAGAGUUUAAUGGAUCAAAUUGAAAUUAAAACUAUUCAGCAGAGUGAGGAAAAGAAAGUACUUGUUGAGCAAAUCCAAAAUGUUCAAUGUGUAUCUGACAAUAACACCAAGGAAGUGCAACAUAAAGUAUUAACCCUUGGAAAAGAAAUUGAUGCUUUAAAGGAAGAACUGGAAGCAAAGCAAACAAAAUGGCAACUGGAAAAAGCAGAGUGUUUUCAGAUGAAAGAUGAGGAGUUGAAAACAUUGGAAGAGAGACUAACUACAGAAAGUGCAAAUAAACUUUCAGAGCUGAAGAAAAGGGCUGAACAGAAAAUAGCUUCUCUUAAGAAACAACUUAUGUCUCAGAUAGAAGAGAAAGAGCAGUCAAGGAAAGAACUGGAAAACCAGCUUCAAAGCUUAAAAAUUAAUAUGCAGAAAGAAGGCCAGGAAGUGCAGGAAGGAUUGCAACAAGAAGUUAAAAAUCAAGAGAACAAAUAUGUGUUGCUACUGGAGCAGCAGAAGAAUACAGAGGCAGAUUUAACGAAUAUUAGGAGUGAGGUAAAAUCAAAAGAACAAAGAAUUAUAGAACUGGAAGAUAUUAUUAAAGAUGUUCAGCAAAAACUUUCUGAAAAAGAGUUGACAGAGAGUGAAAAGGAACAAGAGCUUUUAAAGGAACUAGAGGCACAGAUGCUGACAAAUAAUCAGCUAGUUUCUACACAUGAAAAAGCUUUAAAAGACCUGCAGGAUGAGAUCAAUGUUAAGGAUGCAGAGAUAAAGACCUUUAAAGAGGAAAUAGAUGGAAAAUUCAAAUCCUUAAAUGAACUCCAGGUGCUUUUUGAGGAAACUCAUUCUCAAGAGAGUGCAUUGAAAAUAAAACUGGAAGAAGUAGAGAGGGAGAAGUUAAAAUUCAGAAAUGAAAUAACUAAGCUACAGAAAGAUAUGCGCUCUUUACGUAAGGAACACAAUCAAGAACUAGAUUUGCUUAAAAAGGAGAUAACAGAGGAAGCUGAACAAAGAAUCAAAUAUGAACAGGAGGACCUGGAACUUAAGCAUAAUUCAAAAUUAAAGCAACUGAUGAGAGAAUUCAAUACCCAAAUGGCUAAAAAGGAGCGUGAGGUUGAAACAGCAGUACAGGAGACUAUUGCUAAAGCUCAAGAGGUGGAGGCUGAAUUAAUGCGAUCCCAACAGAUAGAAGCUGUCCAUCUUCAUAAAAAGAUUGCUGAGAAAGAAGAUGACCUGAAAAGAACAGUAAAGAGAUAUGAAGAACUUUUAGAAGGUCGAGAAGAGGAAAUGACAGCAAAAGUGACUGAGUUGCAAGAACAACUUGAAAAAUUGCAGGAAGAAUUAUCACUGAAAGAAAUGCAUAAUGAAGAAGAACAAAAUGUGGAGGAGAAAGCAUCCCCUGAGGUUUUUCAGGCACAGCUGGCGCAGAAGACAUCCCAACUCAAUGAAUACAAACUGAAGGAGCAGGAACUUAAAGAGAAGGUUCACAUCCUAGAAGACCAGGUGAAAAACUUCACACGUGGUGUAUUUUACUCUCCAAUUGGCACACCGUAUAAAGAAGUUAAUAAUCAACAUGCAGGUGUUUCUGUCUUUGGGGAACCCACAGAAUUUGAGUACUUAAGAAAAGUUAUGUUUGAGUACAUGAUGGGGCGUGAAACAAAGACAAUGGCAAAGGUAAUCACAACAGUGCUGAGGUUCCCAACAGACCAAGCUCAACAAAUUUUGCAGCGAGAAGAAAACCAACCACUGAGGACAAAUUUGCAAUCAGAGUUUCAACCACCGCUGAGAGACAAGAUCUAAAUAAAAAUCCUCGCAGUGGUAUGUUCUGAAACAGUAUGGGCGUAGUUAGCAUGUGGUCUUGGCUUCGAUCUUCCUCGUGAAGACCAUUUUCAGAAAUGGACAAAAUGAAAUCCUAGUCAAAAACUGACAUGUUAAUGUAAUCCCUUUGCCACUAAAAGGUUGUCUGAAUUUUUUCCCCAUUGUAUUAUAUUUAAAUUAAAUCAUUUGAGUAAUAAAGUGGAAGCUAAAAUAUAUCAGAUUAGCUAGCUCUGUUAAACCUACUGUAAUGAUUGUCGGCAUUUGCCAUAAACAUACCAAAUCCAGUUUGGCAUAAGGUCACAUUCAACAUUUAGCAAGGUCAAAUUUCGAAUUCACGUGAGAUUUUUUAAAACUCCCCUAAACUCCCAUAAAAAAUCGAUAUUCGACUUACCAAAAUGUAUUCAUAAAAUCCGAUAACGAAAAUUUAAUCAAACACGAUCAGAGUUUUUUCUCCGAAAAAAACUCAAAUGUCAGGAAGUCUGCAAACAUCUCCAGAUUGAUCCCUGGACCUCUCCCAUUGAUGUAAUUUGGCAGGUUUUUAGGUGUGCGAGUAGUCGAAUUCAUAUUCUUAAAGGCCCAGAGUAUGAUAAAUCUUGAAAAUCUAAUUCCAAUUAUUUUUAAAAACUAAUUUGAUAAAAUGCGAUAAUGAAAAUGUAAUCAAACUCGAUCCAACUUUUUUUCCCCCGGAAAAACCUCAAAUUUCAGAAAGGCUGCAUACAUCUCCAGAUUGAUCCCUGGACCUCUCCCAUUGACGUAAACAGUAAUUUGGCAGGUUUUAGGUUGUGAGUAGUCAAAUUCAAAUUCAAAAGGCCCAGAAUAUGAUAAAUCUCGAAAAUCUAAUUCAAAUUCGUUUUUAAAAACUCGAAUCGAAUUUGGAUAACUCCCUAGUCAACUUGACAGUUUUAACCAUAAAAAGUCGACCCUUAAUAAAUCUGCCCCUCAGUGUCUUUGCUUAUGGCAGUAUAAAGGUUCAAGGUUCAUAAUGAGCAAAUGUGCCAAUUUAUGAAUAACUCCGGAAGGAAGAGUUAAAUUGUAUUCCACUAUAAUAUUAUACAUUCUGGGUUUUUUUUUUUU
Xenopus laevis (African clawed frog) is the source of this 8180-nucleotide RNA transcript. It is a transcript of the gene named golgin A4 L homeolog, with no coding region annotated. The transcript is spliced from 28 exons. NCBI's taxonomy places the organism in Eukaryota, Metazoa, Chordata, Amphibia, Anura, Pipidae. The record is from RefSeq and is a predicted model, not a curated record.